This 447-nucleotide ribosomal RNA is filed under the name uncultured bacterium. RNAcentral describes it as "SSU rRNA". It matches the Rfam family "Bacterial small subunit ribosomal RNA", at positions 26 to 518 of the family's 1533-position model. The record is from RNAcentral.
AGAGCGAACGCUGGCGGCAGGCUUAACACAUGCAAGUCGAGCGGGCGUAGCAAUACGUCAGCGGCAGACGGGUGAGUAACGCGUGGGAACGUACCUUUGGUUCGGAACAACACAGGGAAACUUGUGCUAAUACCGGAUAAGCCCUUACGGGGAAAGAUUUAUCGCCAAAAGAUCGGCCCGCGCCUGAUUAGCUAGUUGGUGAGGUAACGGCUCACCAAGGCGACGAUCAGUAGCUGGUCUGAGAGGAUGAUCAGCCACAUUGGGACUGAGACACGGCCCAAACUCCUACGGGAGGCAGCAGUGGGGAAUAUUGGACAAUGGGCGCAAGCCUGAUCCAGCCAUGCCGCGUGAGUGAUGAAGGCCCUAGGGUUGUAAAGCUCUUUUGUGCGGGAAGAUAAUGACGGUACCGCAAGAAUAAGCCCCGGCUAACUUCGUGCCAGCAGCCGC